UAUCAUGACCAGCUAACCAUU
Molecule: non-coding RNA, 21 nt
Filed under: Caenorhabditis elegans
Lineage: Eukaryota; Metazoa; Nematoda; Chromadorea; Rhabditida; Rhabditidae
Source: RNAcentral